This is a non-coding RNA of Manis pentadactyla (Chinese pangolin), 73 nucleotides long. Lineage: Eukaryota; Metazoa; Chordata; Mammalia; Pholidota; Manidae. The record is from the annotation of a RefSeq genome assembly.
UCCUGACUAGCUCAGUCGGCAGAGCAUGAGAUUCUUAAUUUCAGGGUUGUGGGUUCGAGCCCCACGCUGGGCA